RNAcentral lists this transfer RNA (71 nucleotides) under Candidatus Nomurabacteria bacterium. Its description in RNAcentral is "tRNA-Gly". It matches the Rfam family "tRNA". Rfam says of the family: Transfer RNA (tRNA) molecules are approximately 80 nucleotides in length. Their secondary structure includes four short double-helical elements and three loops (D, anti-codon, and T loops). The record is from RNAcentral. Lineage: Bacteria; Candidatus Nomuraibacteriota.
GCGGCUAUGGUUUAGUGGUAGAAUGCAUCCUUGCCAAGGAUGAGACAGGAGUUCGAUUCUCCUUAGCCGCA